GGGUAUAUAGCUUAGUGGUUGAGUGCUUGCCUAACAUGCAUGAAGCUCUGGCUUCAGUCCCCAGUACUACCA
This 72-nucleotide transfer RNA is filed under the name Ictidomys tridecemlineatus (thirteen-lined ground squirrel). RNAcentral's name for it is "Spermophilus tridecemlineatus (thirteen-lined ground squirrel) tRNA". It matches the Rfam family "tRNA". Rfam says of the family: Transfer RNA (tRNA) molecules are approximately 80 nucleotides in length. Their secondary structure includes four short double-helical elements and three loops (D, anti-codon, and T loops). The record is from Rfam by way of RNAcentral. Lineage: Eukaryota; Metazoa; Chordata; Mammalia; Rodentia; Sciuridae. RNAcentral also lists the same sequence under 1 other name.